UACUCGAGUGGCGAACGGGUGAGUAACACGUGGGUGAUCUGCCCUGCACUCUGGGAUAAGCCUGGGAAACUGGGUCUAAUACCGGAUAGGACCAUGCUUUAGUGUGUGUGGUGGAAAGUUUUUUCGGUGUAGGAUGAGCCCGCGGCCUAUCAGCUUGUUGGUGGGGUAAUGGCCUACCAAGGCGGCGACGGGUAGCCGGACUGAGAGGUUGGUCGGCCACAUUGGGACUGAGAUACGGCCCAG
RNAcentral lists this ribosomal RNA (243 nucleotides) under uncultured Actinomycetales bacterium. RNAcentral's name for it is "partial 16S ribosomal RNA". It matches the Rfam family "Bacterial small subunit ribosomal RNA", at positions 88 to 334 of the family's 1533-position model. The record is from RNAcentral. Lineage: Bacteria; Bacillati; Actinomycetota; Actinomycetes; Actinomycetales.